RNAcentral lists this transfer RNA (74 nucleotides) under Actinomycetes bacterium. RNAcentral describes it as "Actinobacteria bacterium tRNA-Thr". It matches the Rfam family "tRNA". Rfam says of the family: Transfer RNA (tRNA) molecules are approximately 80 nucleotides in length. The record is from RNAcentral. Lineage: Bacteria; Bacillati; Actinomycetota; Actinomycetes. RNAcentral also lists the same sequence under 2 other names.
GCCGGAGUAGCUCAGCUGGUCAGAGCAACGCAUUUGUAAUGCGUAGGUCGUGGGUUCGAAUCCCACCUCCGGCU